This 293-nucleotide ribosomal RNA is filed under the name uncultured bacterium. RNAcentral's name for it is "partial 16S ribosomal RNA". It matches the Rfam family "Archaeal small subunit ribosomal RNA", at positions 455 to 747 of the family's 1478-position model. The record is from RNAcentral.
GUGCCAGCUGCCGCGGUAAUACCGGCAGCCCGAGUGAUGGCCGAUAUUAUUGGGCCUAAAGCGUCCGUAGCUGGCCGCGCAAGUCCGUCGGGAAAUCCAUCAGCCCAACUGAUGGGCGUCCGGCGGAAACUGCACGGCUUGGGACCGGAAGGCUCGAGAGGUACGUCCAGGGUAGGAGUGAAAUCCUGUAAUCCUGGACGGACCGCCGAUGGCGAAAGCACGUCGGGAAGACGGACCCGACGGUGAGGGACGAAAGCCAGGGUCUCCAACCGGAUUAGAAACCCCAGUAGUCC